RNAcentral lists this unclassified non-coding RNA (279 nucleotides) under plant metagenome. RNAcentral's name for it is "partial contains small subunit ribosomal RNA, internal transcribed spacer 1, and 5.8S ribosomal RNA". The record is from RNAcentral.
UUUCCGUAGGUGAACCUGCGGAAGGAUCAUUAUUGUGUACCCGAGCUGCGAGUACUGUCGCUGCCCCUACACGCCGUCCACCCCCGCUUCCCCUCACACCCAUCCAUCUCCCCCCUGUUUGCGCCACCGCGUGGGUCCCCCUCUGGCUUCUUCGACGGGCGCCUUCCGGCUUCACACAAACUGUGUAUGCAGCGUGUAAUGGAUCCUUUCUUUUUGCGAUCACGCACUCAAUCCAGCUUUUAACCACGGCUCUCUCUGCUCUCGCAUCGAUGAGAAACG